GGUCAAUGAUGAGCUGGCAUGUAUUCUGAAUCCGAAGCUGAUUAUUACUACUUUAGCUCUAGAAUUACUCUGAGACCUG
Molecule: small nucleolar RNA, 79 nt
Organism: Mustela putorius furo (domestic ferret)
Lineage: Eukaryota; Metazoa; Chordata; Mammalia; Carnivora; Mustelidae
Source: Ensembl